Molecule: ribosomal RNA, 731 nt
Filed under: Salmonella enterica subsp. enterica serovar Infantis
Lineage: Bacteria; Pseudomonadati; Pseudomonadota; Gammaproteobacteria; Enterobacterales; Enterobacteriaceae
Also listed under: 3 other names
Description: partial 23S ribosomal RNA
Rfam family: Bacterial large subunit ribosomal RNA
Source: RNAcentral
CCACCCUUUAAUGUUUGAUGUUCUAACGUGGACCCGUAAUCCGGGUUGCGGACAGUGUCUGGUGGGUAGUUUGACUGGGGCGGUCUCCUCCUAAAGAGUAACGGAGGAGCACGAAGGUUGGCUAAUCCUGGUCGGACAUCAGGAGGUUAGUGCAAUGGCAUAAGCCAGCUUGACUGCGAGCGUGACGGCGCGAGCAGGUGCGAAAGCAGGUCAUAGUGAUCCGGUGGUUCUGAAUGGAAGGGCCAUCGCUCAACGGAUAAAAGGUACUCCGGGGAUAACAGGCUGAUACCGCCCAAGAGUUCAUAUCGACGGCGGUGUUUGGCACCUCGAUGUCGGCUCAUCACAUCCUGGGGCUGAAGUAGGUCCCAAGGGUAUGGCUGUUCGCCAUUUAAAGUGGUACGCGAGCUGGGUUUAGAACGUCGUGAGACAGUUCGGUCCCUAUCUGCCGUGGGCGCUGGAGAACUGAGGGGGGCUGCUCCUAGUACGAGAGGACCGGAGUGGACGCAUCACUGGUGUUCGGGUUGUCAUGCCAAUGGCACUGCCCGGUAGCUAAAUGCGGAAGAGAUAAGUGCUGAAAGCAUCUAAGCACGAAACUUGCCCCGAGAUGAGUUCUCCCUGAGACUUAGAGUCUCCUGAAGGAACGUUGAAGACGACGACGUUGAUAGGCCGGGUGUGUAAGCGCAGCGAUGCGUUGAGCUAACCGGUACUAAUGAACCGUGAGGCUUAACCUU